RNAcentral lists this ribosomal RNA (253 nucleotides) under uncultured bacterium. Its description in RNAcentral is "partial 16S ribosomal RNA". It matches the Rfam family "Bacterial small subunit ribosomal RNA", at positions 524 to 776 of the family's 1533-position model. The record is from RNAcentral.
UACGUAGGGUGCAAGCGCUGUCCGGAAUUAUUGGGCGUAAAGAGCUCGUAGGCGGUCUGUCGCGUCGGCUGUGAAAUCCCGGGGCUCAACCCCGGGCCUGCAGUCGAUACGGGCAGACUAGAGGGCGGUAGGGGAGACUGGAAUUCCUGGUGUAGCGGUGAAAUGCGCAGAUAUCAGGAGGAACACCGGUGGCGAAGGCGGGUCUCUGGGCCGUAACUGACGCUGAGGAGCGAAAGCGUGGGGAGCAAACAGG